RNAcentral lists this long non-coding RNA (234 nucleotides) under Gallus gallus (chicken). Lineage: Eukaryota; Metazoa; Chordata; Aves; Galliformes; Phasianidae. The record is from RNAcentral.
GGGGGCCUCCCUUCUCCUUCUUCUUCUUCCUCUUCUCCUCCUCCUCCUCCUCCCCCUCCUUGUCCUCUGACUGCUCCUCGCUGCCUCCCUCUUCCUCCUCCUCAUCCUCUUCCUCGCUGCUGGAGCUGGAGGUGCCGGAGCUGCUGCUGCUGCCACUCUCCUCACUGUCGGACUCGGGUUCGCUGUCUGCUGAUUCCGUGGGCCCCGACUCCCCCUCUGAGUCAGAGUAGAAAG